RNAcentral lists this small nuclear RNA (77 nucleotides) under Homo sapiens (human). RNAcentral describes it as "partial ncRNA". Lineage: Eukaryota; Metazoa; Chordata; Mammalia; Primates; Hominidae. The record is from RNAcentral.
AGAAUCACUUGAACCCCGGAGGCAGAGGUUGCAGUGAGCCGAGAUCGUGCCACUGCACUCCAUCCUGGGUGACAGCA